Molecule: ribosomal RNA, 368 nt
Filed under: uncultured bacterium
Lineage: Bacteria
Description: bacterial SSU rRNA
Rfam family: Bacterial small subunit ribosomal RNA
Source: RNAcentral
GGUGAACGCUAGCGGCAGGCCUAAUACAUGCAAGCCGAACGGUAACCCCGCAGCAAUGCGGGGCAAGAGUGGCGUAAGGGUGCGUAACACGUAUGCAAUCUACCCGCAACAGGAGGAUAGCUCCCCGAAAGGGGAAUUAACCCUUCAUGAGAUCACGGGAAGGCAUCUUCGAGUGAUUAAAUCUGAGGAGGUUGUGGAUGAGCAUGCGUCUGAUUAGCUAGUGGCGGGGUAACGGCCCACCAAGGCGAUGAUCAGUAGGGGAACUGAGAGGUUGAUCCCCCACACUGGCACUGAGAUACGGGCCAGACUCCUACGGGGAGCAGCAGUAGGGAAUAUUGGUCAAUGGGUGAGAGCCUGAACCAGCCAUG